This 497-nucleotide ribosomal RNA is filed under the name uncultured bacterium. RNAcentral describes it as "partial 16S ribosomal RNA". It matches the Rfam family "Bacterial small subunit ribosomal RNA", at positions 28 to 507 of the family's 1533-position model. The record is from RNAcentral.
GAUGAACGCUGGCGGCGUGCCUAAUACAUGCAAGUCGAGCGAACAGACGGGGAGCUUGCUCCUCUGACGUUAGCGGCGGACGGGUGAGUAACACGUGGAGAACCUAACUAUAAGACUGGGAUAACUUCGGGAAACCGGAGCUAAGACCGGAUAAUAUAUUGAACCGCAUGGUUCAAUAGUGAAAGACGGGUUUGCUGUUACUUAUAGAUGGAUCCGCGCCGCAUUAGCUAGUUGGUAAGGUAACGGCUUACCAAGGCAACGAUGCGUAGCCGACCUGAGAGGGUGACCGGCCACACUGGAACUGAGACACGGUCCAGACUCCUACGGGAGGCAGCAGUAGGGAAUCUUCCGCAAUGGGCGAAAGCCUGACGGAGCAACGCCGCGUGAGUGAUGAAGGUCUUCGGAUCGUAAAACUCUGUUAUUAGGGAAGAACAAAUGUGUAAGUAACUAUGCACGUCUUGACGGUACCUAAUCAGAAAGCCACGGCUAACUACGUG